UAGAAAAUAGCAUAAUGAAGUGCUGAAGAUUUUGAGUUUUAAAGUGUGGGUUCGAGUCCCAUUUUUCU
RNAcentral lists this transfer RNA (68 nucleotides) under Microlophus koepckeorum. RNAcentral's name for it is "tRNA-Gln". It matches the Rfam family "tRNA". From Rfam's summary of the family: Transfer RNA (tRNA) molecules are approximately 80 nucleotides in length. Their secondary structure includes four short double-helical elements and three loops (D, anti-codon, and T loops). The record is from RNAcentral. Lineage: Eukaryota; Metazoa; Chordata; Lepidosauria; Squamata; Tropiduridae.